GAUGAACGCUGGCGGCGUGCCUAACACAUGCAAGUCGAACGGAGAUUUAACGCUGAUGAGGCUUCGGCGGAAUCUUGUUAAAUCUUAGUGGCGGACGGGUGAGUAACGCGUGGGCAACCUGCCUCGUACUGGGGGAUAACAGUUGGAAACGACUGUUAAUACCGCAUAAGCGCACGGUGUCGCAUGACACAGUGUGAAAAACUCCGGUGGUACGAGAUGGGCCCGCGUCAGAUUAGCUAGUUGGUGGGGUAACGGCUCACCAAGGCGACGAUCUGUAGCCGGACUGAGAGGUCGGACGGCCACAUUGGGACUGAGACACGGCCCAAACUCCUACGGGAGGCAGCAGUGGGGGAUAUUGCACAAUGGGCGAAAGCCUGAUGCAGCGACGCCGCGUGAGUGAAGAAGUAUUUCGGUAUGUAAAGCUCUAUCAGCAGGGAAGAAAGGCUCGAAAGAGAGAUGACGGUAC
This 466-nucleotide ribosomal RNA is filed under the name bacterium V9D3003. Its description in RNAcentral is "bacterial SSU rRNA". It matches the Rfam family "Bacterial small subunit ribosomal RNA", at positions 28 to 478 of the family's 1533-position model. The record is from RNAcentral.